UUUUUUCUUUUACCUCAUUAAAUUCCAAUAUAAUCGUUAUCCACUUCAUCUGAGUGGUAUUGAUAGAAAAAUGUCAUUAAAAAAAAAAAACCCAUUUUCUGAAUUUUAUGAGGAAAAUGAUAUCGACUCGUGUGAAUUAUCCGAAACUCCUCUUCUGUAUCCGAAAAAACGCUUCACAAUAAAUUCUGAUAUAAUCGGAAUAUACAUAACCUGAAAGGUAUCUGAAGAAAUUUUCAUUAAAAAUUAUCCAUUUUUCUGGAAAUUAUGAGGAAAGAAAAUCGAGUGGUGUGCGCAUUUGUAUGUAGGUAUGCCAUAUUUAUUCUUUAUAACAAACAUUAUUAUAUUAUAAUAUCAUGAUUAUCAUUAUAAAAAUGUGAUGGUUUCCUUGUACUUACAAGGAAACGAAAUAACCAAUAGGACAAAUUACAUUAAACACAAAUAGAAAAUAUAAUUUUUUAAAAUUCAUAAUGUUAUUUAUAUAACAACGAGAAAACAUUUUAUGUUUCGAAGUGAUAGAUCAAUACUAUAUAACUCUGCAAAUAAUAAUAAUAAUAAUAAAAUUAAUAAGUCUAUAAUUGAAAGGGUGGGACUCGACCAUAAGUGCCGCUCUCUGCAGGUUAACUUAUAAAUAAUAACGGGUUGGAGAAUAUGAACACGUACUAUAUAUCGAAUACGGAGCGCAGCAAUUUCAGGAAAGUGGAAUUAACUUUACCUACACGGAUAUAUGGAUCAAACAAUCAAGGACAAAGUCUGAAAACUUGGGGAAAGGGACAAGUCAAUUACCUCGUUCAUAAUGCUCUCCUCACACUUAUUUUUUCGACCCCGAAAGGAUACCUUAAACAAACCUCAAAGGAAGAAAAAUGGGUAGACUACAUUUCACUCCUUAGAUUUCCAGUUUAUCUUCCUGCUCAGGAUGUGUUGAUUGAAUUUCAAAUGGAAGAAGGAUCUGCAAAUGGAAUGACAUUCAUCUCAAAUAUUGCUGCAUGUUGUCUGGAUGGAAUUAAACUAGUUUCUCAUUUAGACAUGGUUAUGUGAUUAAGAAGUUUACUUUGCAACCAUGUGGUUUUGGUUCAAGUCCCCACCAUGUGCCACUUUGGCAGAAAAAUUUAUUCCGAAGUGAAUUUAUUUACAGAAUGUUUCUUCAUCAUUACAAAUACAAGCCCUGGAAUUGUCAUCACUUGGAAAAACUGGAAUGACAGAUGUUGUAUCGUAUCCUUUUAGAUCGAAAAUAAACCAACGAAAUGAGAUUCCUCUUUUUGUAUAUUAUUACAUAAUAUUGGUUAAUUUACUCUGUUUCUCUCUGUGGAACUAUUAUUGUUUGGUGUAGCAUAUAAACUAACUAGCUUACGGAAAAAACUUCCUUUUAUAUUUAUUGUUAACUGUAGGAACGGUAAAUCUAGUGCAGAGAGCAGGUAACUGCUUUCCAUGCUGCCUCUAUAAAGUGGUGUUCAGUCGUCCGUUUCUGGAUAAAUAUAAAAUAUAUACUUUCAAAAUGAGCUUGCUCCAUUCAUGUUGGGACUGAACCAAGGUUUUAUGCAAUAAUGUAACCUGGACUAUUCUUGUUUGUUGAAAUUCCUUUACAUGGUUAAUCUACUUAACAAAAGUCUUUGAUAUUGUAACUUCCCACUUAAUUUUUAUCAGCUCUUUACAUCCCAGAUUCAAAUCCUGACUUUCAUCCCUCUGGGGUCGAUAAAAAUCUACCCAGUGAAAUACUAGGUCGAUUUAGUCGAGUAACCCGCUCCUCUACAAAUUACUGACUUAGUGCUAGCAGUUACUUAUUAUAGUAAAGUUUUGUUACAGUAAAUAGUUUUGGUUGUUAGAUGGAACCGCUCAAUAAUGCAUAAUAUGUUUUGGAGAAAUCCCAUGGGAAUUGUAGAAACCACUGAGUACUAGAAGGAAUAUCUAGCAGUAAUAUGGACGUACUUUUUCGUUACAAAUCGAAUCGACUCCGACUUUGGGAUGCAUCCCUUCAAUAUUAAUGAAUUUCAAACUUCUACUGAGAUCAAUUGUCUUCUACAAGUUUGUGACCUUGUGCUAAUCAGAGUAAUAUGUAUGAAAUUACGUUGGAAAUCCGGCGCAUAGAGCAUAAUUAUAUAAUAUAUAUUAUUUUUUCGAUUUUUUUUCUUUUGCUUUUCUUUUCACUUCAGAACCAAAUUUGGUAACCAGAACACUAGAGGUUUGCAUCGGGGAUCAAGAAAGACAAAACUGGUUUUCAUAAUGAUUUUGCAGAAUGUGUCAUGUUUCUGAGAUCAUUGUGAAAACUGGUUUUGUUACGCUCGACAACUUAAUGAGAUUUAAGAGUUUUCGGAGAUGAGAUAAAACUCUGUAUCCUUUUUUGUACGUUGCAUUUACCAUCGUAUUUUAUAUGAAAAUUUUGAAUUUAAUAAAACAAGUCGUAUAUUGAAUAAAUUUGCUCAUCCAGAGGAACGUGUGUUCCUUUUGUGAUUAUUUUUUUUCUCCCGAAAAGGGGUCUGAAUUUGCGUUUCACCCACAAAUUUAAUCAAAUUCAGGAAUUUUAUUAAUUUUUACCGAGGCUGACUGACACUUGUUGCCUUUCACUUCAGUUGUAAAAGACGAAAAUCAUAUGAAAUAAUUUUUCUUUGUUCUCUGUUUCGUUUCUGAUGCCUUGACAGUAUCUUCAACAACUUUUAAUGGUUGAAGCAACAUCUCUUACUUGCAAUGUUUUCUUAGUAAAACAAAUAUCAUUUCACACAUCAAAGCCGCGACUUGUGUGUUGCAAAUCAAUCUCUAUCUUAGGUCUAAGUCAAAUGCUUCAGUGACCAAUACAGCGUCAACACAAUUUAGAUACCUGAUGCAUAUUUUUCAUAUCUUGACAUAAAACA
Molecule: RNA transcript, 2843 nt
Organism: Octopus sinensis (East Asian common octopus)
Lineage: Eukaryota; Metazoa; Mollusca; Cephalopoda; Octopoda; Octopodidae
Exons: 7
Source: RefSeq, a predicted model, not a curated record